GGAGAUAUGAUUGAUCAAGAAGAAGCUGCUAACUUUUAUCUUUAAUGGUUAAACUCCAUUUAUAUCUC
Molecule: transfer RNA, 68 nt
Filed under: Ectinorhynchus sp. LRC-2002
Lineage: Eukaryota; Metazoa; Arthropoda; Insecta; Diptera; Therevidae
Description: tRNA-Ser
Source: RNAcentral